RNAcentral lists this ribosomal RNA (1177 nucleotides) under Bacillus sp. (in: firmicutes). Its description in RNAcentral is "bacterial SSU rRNA". It matches the Rfam family "Bacterial small subunit ribosomal RNA", at positions 54 to 1233 of the family's 1533-position model. Lineage: Bacteria; Bacillati; Bacillota; Bacilli; Caryophanales; Bacillaceae. The record is from RNAcentral.
CACUGCCAGUCGAGCGACUGAUUAGAAGCUUGCUUCUAUGACGUUAGCGGCGGACGGGUGAGUAACACGUGGGCAACCUGCCUGUAAGACUGGGAUAACUUCGGGAAACCGAAGCUAAUACCGGAUAGGAUCUUCUCCUUCAUGGGAGAUGAUUGAAAGAUGGUUUCGGCUAUCACUUACAGAUGGGCCCGCGGUGCAUUAGCUAGUUGGUGAGGUAACGGCUCACCAAGGCAACGAUGCAUAGCCGACCUGAGAGGGUGAUCGGCCACACUGGGACUGAGACACGGCCCAGACUCCUACGGGAGGCAGCAGUAGGGAAUCUUCCGCAAUGGACGAAAGUCUGACGGAGCAACGCCGCGUGAGUGAUGAAGGCUUUCGGGUCGUAAAACUCUGUUGUUAGGGAAGAACAAGUACGAGAGUAACUGCUCGUACCUUGACGGUACCUAACCAGAAAGCCACGGCUAACUACGUGCCAGCAGCCGCGGUAAUACGUAGGUGGCAAGCGUUAUCCGGAAUUAUUGGGCGUAAAGCGCGCGCAGGCGGUUUCUUAAGUCUGAUGUGAAAGCCCACGGCUCAACCGUGGAGGGUCAUUGGAAACUGGGGAACUUGAGUGCAGAAGAGAAAAGCGGAAUUCCACGUGUAGCGGUGAAAUGCGUAGAGAUGUGGAGGAACACCAGUGGCGAAGGCGGCUUUUUGGUCUGUAACUGACGCUGAGGCGCGAAAGCGUGGGGAGCAAACAGGAUUAGAUACCCUGGUAGUCCACGCCGUAAACGAUGAGUGCUAAGUGUUAGAGGGUUUCCGCCCUUUAGUGCUGCAGCUAACGCAUUAAGCACUCCGCCUGGGGAGUACGGUCGCAAGACUGAAACUCAAAGGAAUUGACGGGGGCCCGCACAAGCGGUGGAGCAUGUGGGUUUAAUUCGAAGCAACGCGAAGAACCUUACCAGGUCUUGACAUCCUCUGACACUCUAGAGAUAGAGCGUUCCCCUUUCGGGGGACAGAGUGACAGGUGGUGCAUGAUGUCGUCAGCUCGUGUCGUGAGAUGGUGGGUAGUCCCGCACCGAGCGCAUCCCUGAUCUAGUUGCAGCAUCAGUUGGGCACUCUAAGUGACUGCCGUGACAUCGAGCAGUGGAUGAGCUCAUCACAUGCCCAUAUGACUGGCUACACCGUUCUACAAUUG